AGCUAAAAAGCUAAGAGGUAAAUACUUCCAUACAAAUUUUGAAGGUUAAAGGACAGCCAUAUAAACCUGCAUACUUACAGGAUAAAUCACAUAAAGUACGUAAGUUAAAGAUGCAGCAUUCUACACUAUCAUGACCUCUCUUUAUGUUGAUUGAGGCAUAGGAUCUUCUCUCUUUAACUGAUGUAGAUGUGGUCUACACAAAUUACCGCUUCCCACAUAUUAUGGAUAGAAAUUGGAGCAGUAUCUCACUGUAUAACCAUAUUGCACCUGCAGGAAUUAAACAGAUUUAUUGCAAUUACGUGGUGAACUAUGUUCAGCCUAAUACUGAGUUAAUAAUUACUCUUAGUGUAAAGGUAAAUUGCACAUAAGGUGAUUAGGUGAAGUAUAGGGAGUCUUUAAAAAAGUUAAAUGUAACUGCACACAGAGAAGGUAAACCACUCGUAUUUACGCCAAACAUUGCUAUUAAAAAAUAUCAUGUUGAUUGGUUCAAACAUCAGCAAGCAUUACGGGGGCGUUUGGUUGAUGGUUAAUGAGCCCGGUUAACGGGAAUCGGAACCUAAUACCCAUACAUUGUGUUUGGAUUAGUAAAAUUUUUGCUUGGAAUGGGAACCUCAUUCCUUCUUGAAGGGUAAAUCAAUACCUCCACACCCUUUGGGUUACCAUUUCCCAUACCCUCCAUUCCCAUACCCCCAUUCCCAUUCCCCAUUCCCAUUCCCACCAAUCAUCCAAACACCCCCCACAUGUUAUUGGAUUAAAAUGUCUACAAUGUUGUAAAUUUUUUGUGCUCUAUUCUUUUAGCAAUUACAAUUCUGAUGCUUUUGCAUGUAAAUAAGAGGAAGGGCCAUACAUUUACGUUGCAUCCUUAUUUUUCGAAGAAGUUUUACUAAUAACAUUUGCUGGAGGAGCUUUUGCCUAGUCAUAGCUUACAUAUCAAAGAGAAGUUUGUUGAUCUCACAUCAAAAAUCUGAAGGAAGCGUCAAUUCCCCAAUAGAGUAAUCAUACUCUAUCUCCCCUAACAAAGUGAGAUCCAAAUUAUUAACACACUACCUUUCUCUAAAUACUAAAUUUAAACUUAUCAAACUUAACCAAUGUAAAAACACACAUCUUAGACUGAAAUGAACUUAAAAAUCCAACAAAGUAAGAAAUUAGUAAAUUAAAUGUCAGAACAUAUCACAUCAAACUUGAACAAGAACCCUUGCAUAAAAUCGAAAAAACUUUCUUUCUUUCCUAGUUACAGUAAAUUGGGUCUCAAAACUUUAUCAAAAAGUAAAAAUUACUGCUACUACUAUCACAGCUACUAAAAGACAGUAAAAAGUAAAGAAAGGAUUAAAAUAAGUACCUGGGGGCUAAUGGGUAAAAAACUUGUAAAGAAAGAAGAAUAGAAAGAGGAAGAAGAUGAGAAGGAAGACAUAAUCAAGAAACAAGAAGAAUUUAGUUGACCCGUGAUUUCUUUUUCGGGUUUUUAUAUUUUUCUUGGAUGGUUCAUAUUCAUCAUCACCGUUGUAUGCUUCAAUUUUCGCCAUUCUGAUUCCGAUUUGCUCGCUGCAAAUCUGGCAGAUCUUCUUUUGCGCUGCUGGGCAGUGGGCACUACCGGUGGAGAAUAAUGUGGUGGGCUGGGCCCAUUCGUCACUUUGCUUUGUGGGCUCUUUGACGCCCACUUCAAGGAACAAAGCAAUCCGAUAUUUCAACAUUGUUUUAUGUUUUAAGAAUUUAUAUUUUAUAUUUCAUUUAUAUUAAUUAAUUAAAAAACAUUUGCAUAUGUUUGAUGUUAAU
Molecule: long non-coding RNA, 1773 nt
Filed under: Daucus carota (carrot)
Lineage: Eukaryota; Viridiplantae; Streptophyta; Magnoliopsida; Apiales; Apiaceae
Description: long non-coding RNA (DCAR_LNC003911)
Source: RNAcentral